CAGUCGCCGCGGUAAAACGUAGGGUGCGAGCGUUAAUCGGAAUUACUGGGCGUAAAGCGUGCGCAGGCGGUUUUGUAAGACAGGCGUGAAAUCCCCGGGCUCAACCUGGGAAUGGCGCUUGUGACUGCAAAGCUAGAGUGCGGCAGAGGGGGAUGGAAUUCCGCGUGUAGCAGUGAAAUGCGUAGAUAUGCGGAGGAACACCGAUGGCGAAGGCAAUCCCCUGGGCCUGCACUGACGCUCAUGCACGAAAGCGUGGGGAGCAAACAGGAUUAGAUACCCCCGUAGUCCCUGUCUCUUAUAC
This 301-nucleotide ribosomal RNA is filed under the name uncultured bacterium. RNAcentral's name for it is "partial 16S ribosomal RNA". It matches the Rfam family "Bacterial small subunit ribosomal RNA", at positions 509 to 807 of the family's 1533-position model. The record is from RNAcentral.